GGACGAACGCUGGCGGCGUGCCUAAUACAUGCAAGUCGAACGAGCUCUCCCAAAUUGAUUUUAUGCUUGCAUAAAUGAUUUUUGGAUUCGGAGCGAGUGGCGAACUGGUGAGUAACACGUGGGUAACCUACCCCGAAGCGGGGGAUAACAUUUGGAAACAAGUGCUAAUACCGCAUAAUUAGUUGGAACCGCAUGGUUCCAACUUGAAAGAUGGCUCUGCUAUCACUUUGGGAUGGACCCGCGCCGUAUUAGUUAGUUGGUGAGAUAAAAGCCCACCAAGACGAUGAUACGUAGCCGACCUGAGAGGGUAAUCGGCCACAUUGGGACUGAGACACGGCCCAGACUCCUACGGGAGGCAGCAGUAGGGAAUCUUCCACAAUGGACGAAAGUCUGAUGGAGCAACGCCGCGUGAGUGAUGAAGGUUUUCGGAUCGUAAAACUCUGUUGUUAAAGAAGAACAAGUGUUAGAGUAACUGUUAACACUUUGACGGUAUUUAACCAGAAAGCCACGGCUAACUACGUGCCAGCAGCCGCGGUAAUACGUAGGUGGCAAGCGUUGUCCGGAUUUAUUGGGCGUAAAGCGAGCGCAGGCGGUUUUGUAAGUCUGCUGUGAAAGCCCUCAGCUCAACUGAGGAAGUGCAGUGGAAACUACAAAACUUGAGUACAGAAGAGGAAAGUGGAACUCCAUGUGUAGCGGUGAAAUGCGUAGAUAUAUGGGAAGAACACCAGUGGCGAAGGCGGCUUUCUGGUCUGUUACUGACGCUGAGGCUCGAAAGCAUGGGUAGCGAACAGGAUUAGAUACCCUGGUAGUCCAUGCCGUAAACGAUGAAUACUAGGUGUUGGAGGGUUUCCGCCCUUCAGUGCCGCAGCUAACGCAUUAAGUAUUCCGCCUGGGGAGUACGACCGCAAGGUUGAAACUCAAAGGAAUUGACGGGGGCCCGCACAAGUGGUGGAGCAUGUGGUUUAAUUCGAUGCUACGCGAAGAACCUUACCAGCUCUUGACAUCUUCUGCCAACCCAAGAGAUUGGGCGUUCCCUUCGGGGACAGAAUGACAGGUGGUGCAUGGUUGUCGUCAGCUCGUGUCGUGAGAUGUUGGGUUAAGUCCCGCAACGAGCGCAACCCUUAUUAUUAGUUGCCAGCAUUUAGUUGGGCACUCUAGUGAGACUGCCGGUGAUAAACCGGAGGAAGGUGGGGACGACGUCAAAUCAUCAUGCCCCUUAUGAGCUGGGCUACACACGUGCUACAAUGGAUGGUACAACGAGUCGCGAAACCGCGAGGUCAAGCUAAUCUCUUAAAGCCAUUCUCAGUUCGGAUUGCAGGCUGCAACUCGCCUGCAUGAAGUUGGAAUCACUAGUAAUCGUGGAUCAGCAUGCCACGGUGAAUACGUUCCCGGGCCUUGUACACACCGCC
Molecule: ribosomal RNA, 1409 nt
Filed under: uncultured Bacilli bacterium
Lineage: Bacteria; Bacillati; Bacillota; Bacilli
Description: bacterial SSU rRNA
Rfam family: Bacterial small subunit ribosomal RNA
Source: RNAcentral